RNAcentral lists this ribosomal RNA (253 nucleotides) under uncultured bacterium. Its description in RNAcentral is "partial 16S ribosomal RNA". It matches the Rfam family "Bacterial small subunit ribosomal RNA", at positions 524 to 776 of the family's 1533-position model. The record is from RNAcentral.
UACAGAGGUCCCAAGCGUUGUUCGGAUUCAUUGGGCGUAAAGGGUGCGUAGGCGGCGCGGUAAGUCGGGUGUGAAAUCUCGGAGCUUAACUCCGAAACUGCAUUCGAUACUACCGUGCUUGAGGACUGGAGAGGAGACUGGAAUUUACGGUGUAGCGGUGAAAUGCGUAGAUAUCGUAAGGAAGACCAGUGGCGAAGGCGGGUCUCUGGACAGUUCCUGACGCUGAGGCACGAAGGCCAGGGGAGCAAACGGG